GCUGAGGUGGGUAACCCCCGGAAGUUGCUAGUCAAAACAACAAUACACUGGAUUUAUAUCGAUACAUCGGCAGAUGAAGACGUUAGACUUUUUAAAAUGUAUUUUUAAUUUAACUAGGCAAGUUAGUUAAGAAGAAAUUCUUAUUUACAAUGACGGCCAACCCCUAACGACGCUGGGACAAUUGUGCGCCGCCCUAUGGGACUUCCAAUCACGGCCGUUUGUGAUACAGCCUGUAACGUUAAUCGAAACAGGGUCUUGUGGUGACGCCUCUUGCGCUGAGAUGCAGUGCCUUAGACCGCUGCGCUACUCGGGAGACCUGUAUGCCCAAGGCAGUCAAGCUAAGAGGUUACUGUAACUGGAUCGAGGGUUACAUUCACGAUGUACAAGCUGCAGUUCUACUCUGAAAGUCCAUUCAUCAUGGAGACUAAAUGCAACUGCAAAGCUGGCCCGGGACAGUGCAACCAUUCCCUCAGUUUACUGUAAACCAUAGCUCAUUACAUUAAAAUGGGCUACACAUCUAUUCCACCAACAGAAACCUAAACAUGCUUGCCUCAAACAUGGCACAUCCGACGCGUACGUCAGGCCUGAAGUCAAAACAUGUAAAAACAGUUAAAUUAUCGAAAGUAAAGCCACUGAGGAAUAACAAUGCACCUGCCAACAAGGUCCGCAGGACUUGAGGGGAUUGUGCCAAAUAUGUAUUGUCCAGUCCCUACACCAUUGCCCAGUAAAUAGUUUGCUAGGAACCUUAUGCAAAACCUUGCUGCAAUAGGAAGCAACUGCCAGAUAUACACCUUGCUGGCCUCAAACUCAGAGCAUACUUUUUUUGUGAAAUGCAACAAUUAUUUCCUUGAGAGUCUGAAAAGUUGGUGGACAUGAAGUCCAAGUUAGACCAAUACUUUUUUGAGCACUUCCUGCCAGCCCUGUGCAGGAAUAAAGAAAAAAUAAAUCACACUGGUAGGUGGACAGGUGUGUCUCUGGUCAACACUCCAGUCCAGUUGGUGGUGGUAAUGCACCUUAAAGUUGGUUGCCAACUGCCAUAUAAAAUCCUCAGAAGAAGAAGGUGGAAUGGUGAUACCCUGGUGCCAUGGUAAUAAUAAAUACUGGUGUAGUUUAUUCAGUGAUGUACAGGACUGGACUUUGAAAUGUUUCUAAUUCCAGUUACGUGAUUGAAGCUUAAAAUAUGUCUAUAAAUGAAGUUAGUCUAUUUGAUUGAAGCUUGAACUUUUAAUGAACUGUGAAAUUAUUGAUGCUGGAGACAUGUAUUUUGAUAAUUAAAUAGUCAUGUUUGAAAAGCAUUUGUCAUGGUAUUCUUCUCAGGUAGAAAUUCAGUAUAUCAAUCUAUUGUACAUCACAGAAAUACAGGGUUCUCCCUUAAGCAUUACAGUGGCUCUGUACAUUGAGUGUUAGACAAAUGGAUAAAUGCUUACAAUAAACAAUUCUUCAUUCAUUCCCAUAUAGUGGAAGUGGGUAGAGCACAAGAUACGUGUUCUUAAAAACAGUAGCUCUUGAAAAGUUGAGUACAGCACGUACAAACCACAGCUGGUUAACUGAACUGGCGAGUGUCAGGGGGAUCACGCUAUCAAAUAUGUCUUCUAAGCCUGGUAAUCAGCUUUCAAGGUGUCAGUCUUUAACCCCCGUGUACAACAUGAUGAACCUGGGAUCACACUGGAAACUAAACUGUUGCCGCCUUAGUGAGUCAUUCUCCUUUGCUAGCCAAUCUAUUUCAUCACGCGCUGCCUCCAGUGGCUCUUCCGUAGGCAGGGGCUUCUGUGUAAUCAUGCUUUGGGAAUAGCAGCUCUGCAACCUGGCCAGCUCUAGGGGAGAAGGAGG
Oncorhynchus tshawytscha (Chinook salmon) is the source of this 1830-nucleotide long non-coding RNA. NCBI's taxonomy places the organism in Eukaryota, Metazoa, Chordata, Actinopteri, Salmoniformes, Salmonidae. The record is from Ensembl.